Molecule: unclassified non-coding RNA, 391 nt
Filed under: soil metagenome
Description: partial contains 5.8S ribosomal RNA, internal transcribed spacer 2, and large subunit ribosomal RNA
Rfam family: 5.8S ribosomal RNA (bases 1-122)
Source: RNAcentral
GAUGAAGAACGUAGUGAAAUGCGAUACUUGGUGUGAAUUGCAGAAUCCCGUGAACCAUCGAGUCUUUGAACACAAGUUGCGCCCGAAGCCAUUAGGCCGAGGGCACGCCUGCCUGGGCGUCACACGUCGUUGCCCCCCCAUCUACUCCUUCGGGAUUGCGGGGGGCGGAUGAUGGCCUCCCGUGCGCCUCGUCGCGCGGUUGGCAUAAAUGCCAAGUCCUCGGCGACGCACGCCACGACAAUCGGUGGUUGCGAAACCUCGGUUGCCCGUCGUGUGCGGUCGUCGCGCAUCGAGGGCUCGAAAAAAUUGUCGGGCUCCGGCUCGGCUUUCAACGCGACCCCAGGUCAGGCGGGGUUACCCGCUGAAUUUAAGCAUAUCAAUAAGCGGAGGA